GAUCCUGGCUCAGGACGAACGCUGGCGGCGCGCCUAACACAUGCAAGUCGAACGGAGUUAGAUAGCGGAAGUUUUCGGAUGGAAGCGAUUUAACUUAGUGGCGAACGGGUGAGUAACACGUGAGGAACCUGCCUUUCAGUGGGGGACAACAGUUGGAAACGACUGCUAAUACCGCAUAAGACCACAGCACCGCAUGGUGCAGNGAUCAAAGGAUUUAUUCGCUGAAAGAUGGACUCGCGUCCGA
This 244-nucleotide ribosomal RNA is filed under the name uncultured bacterium. RNAcentral's name for it is "partial 16S ribosomal RNA". It matches the Rfam family "Bacterial small subunit ribosomal RNA", at positions 15 to 240 of the family's 1533-position model. The record is from RNAcentral.